GGUACUAUAGUGUAGUGGUUAUCACUCGGGAUUUUGAAGCCUUUCGGAUUUCCCGAAACCCAGGUUCGAACCCUGGUAGUACCU
Molecule: transfer RNA, 84 nt
Filed under: Agaricus bisporus var. burnettii
Lineage: Eukaryota; Fungi; Basidiomycota; Agaricomycetes; Agaricales; Agaricaceae
Also listed under: 2 other names
Rfam family: tRNA
About the family: Transfer RNA (tRNA) molecules are approximately 80 nucleotides in length.
Source: Rfam by way of RNAcentral